UUUUACUCCCAGGUUAGAAAGUCUCUGUUGAUAAAAGGUAUUUAGUUCACUGUGGUGACAAACUCAUUUAAUGGAUAGAUGAUCCCAAAGCUUUACACUGAUAAGUGUUUUUGUUGUUUUUAUUGCCAUAAAAGUUGGAAUUUACCUUAUUAGUAAAUCCAAAUGGUCUCUUCAUCCAGACCUUAAAAAAUCAUGAUACUCAUGUCUUGAAUACUUUCCUUACACUUUGUGAUCCAAAAUCAUCACCAACCAUCAUUUUGAUGGCUGGAACAUCUUCAUAUUUAAGUCAAUGCAGUCUUUGUGGUGGUCACGGAAGAAACUAGCUGCAAAAUAUUGUAAGUUGCAAGGCAUUUUCUUGAACAAUCUGGCAUAAGGCAGUAAACUCUAUGGCCCAAUUUUUCCUCCAUAAUAAAGCAAGAACAGAAAGCUGAGUUAAAAAUAAGCUGCUGAAAGAAAGCGAAAAUUUUCCAUCGCCGCUCUUCCCCCGUACCUGACUCCCACCUUUCAAUACAGCUAUUAAUCAAUCACUCCCUCGCUGAGCUCUCCUUCAGUGACAUCUGCUAUUUUGCUCUCCUUUGCCAUCAUGUUCAACUCAGAAGACAGCCUGGAAAUUCACGAUGGCCAGAUGAAUGCAUCUGGAGGAGAAAGAGGGAGAAAGUUGCUGUGAUGGGAGAGGCAUGAUAUAUUGGAGACGGUGUCUCCCUAUGUUGCCCAGGCUGAUUUCGAACUUCUGGGCUCAAGCUGUCUUCCGGCCUCGGCCUCCCGAAGUGCUGGGACUACAUGGGUGAGCCACUGCUCCCUGCCAACUUUUUGUUUUUUAACCUAACAAAAAUGUUUCACAAAUUAAUGCCAAAAUAAAACAAACGUUUAGCGGCCAUCAAAGCUAUGGAGAGACUCUAUUAUAACUUGAACCGCUGGGGACGUGCCGCCUGAGA
Molecule: long non-coding RNA, 935 nt
Filed under: Homo sapiens (human)
Lineage: Eukaryota; Metazoa; Chordata; Mammalia; Primates; Hominidae
Description: HSALNT0345533
Source: RNAcentral